GGCGGCGGCGCGGGUAGGAAAGAAUUAGAGUUUCUUUGGCGAUAAGCCACUGGCAUAUGAUACCAUGUAGAGAGUUUUGGGAGAAGUAAUUUUCUCGUAUUGGUUACAAAAGUAUAUAUAGAGUACAGAGAUGUAUCAAAUCCUACCAACCAUAGGACUGUACAAUAAUGAAGGAAAUCAAAUCCUACCAACUAUAGGACUGUACAAUAAUGAGAGAAUAUUCUACCAAUAAUAAAAAGAUACACCAAAUCCUACCAACUAUAGGACUGUACAAUAAUGAAAGAAUAUUCUAACAAUAAUAAAAAGAUACACGCAAUAUAUUCUAAUACCAACUUCUGAUCUUACUUGCCCCUUCCUUGUACUGCGAUCAAUUUAUUACUGCAAUUGCUAUUUGUUGGCUAUAUCUUUUAAAAACAAUAUUGGCUGAAGCAUAUAUGAGCUAAUUCUAUC
This 450-nucleotide long non-coding RNA is filed under the name Nicotiana benthamiana. RNAcentral's name for it is "long non-coding RNA (NBEN_LNC023083)". The record is from RNAcentral. Lineage: Eukaryota; Viridiplantae; Streptophyta; Magnoliopsida; Solanales; Solanaceae.